UACGAAGGUGGCAAGCGUUGUUCGGAUUUACUGGGCGUACAGGGAGCGUAGGCGGUUGGAUAAGCCCUCCGUGAAAUCUCCAGGCUUAACCUGGAAAGUGCAGAGGGGACUGUUCAGCUAGAGGAUGGGAGAGGAGCGCGGAAUUCCCGGUGUAGCGGUGAAAUGCGUAGAUAUCUGGAGGAAUACCGGUGGCGAAGGCGGCAUCCUGGACCGACAUUGACGCUGAGGCGCGAAAGCCAGGGGAGCAAACGGG
Molecule: ribosomal RNA, 253 nt
Filed under: uncultured bacterium
Lineage: Bacteria
Description: partial 16S ribosomal RNA
Rfam family: Bacterial small subunit ribosomal RNA
Source: RNAcentral